AGCGUUGUCCGGAUUUAUUGGGCGUAAAGCGCGCGCAGGCGGUUCUUUAAGUCUGAUGUGAAAGCCCACGGCUCAACCGUGGAGGGUCAUUGGAAACUGGAGAACUUGAGUACAGAAGAGGAAAGCGGAAUUCCACGUGUAGCGGUGAAAUGCGUAGAGAUGUGGAGGAACACCAGUGGCGAAGGCGGCUUUCUGGUCUGUAACUGACGCUGAGGCGCGAAAGCGUGGGGAGCAAACAGGAUUAGAUACCCUGGUAGUCCACGCCGUAAACGAUGAGUGCUAAGUGUUAGGGGGUUUCCGCCCCUUAGUGCUGCAGCUAACGCAUUAAGCACUCCGCCUGGGGAGUACGGCC
This 352-nucleotide ribosomal RNA is filed under the name uncultured Caryophanales bacterium. Its description in RNAcentral is "bacterial SSU rRNA". It matches the Rfam family "Bacterial small subunit ribosomal RNA", at positions 537 to 887 of the family's 1533-position model. The record is from RNAcentral. Lineage: Bacteria; Bacillati; Bacillota; Bacilli; Caryophanales.